CCUACGGGGGGCAGCAGUGAGGAAUAUUGGUCAAUGGGCGAGAGCCUGAACCAGCCAAGUCGCGUGAAGGAUGACGGCCCUACGGGUUGUAAACUUCUUUUGUCAGGGAGCAAUUGGGUCCACGCGUGGGCUUAGCGAGAGUACCUGAAGAAAAAGCAUCGGCUAACUCCGUGCCAGCGGCCGCGGUAAUACGGAGGAUGCGAGCGUUCUCCGGAUUUAUUGGGUUAAAAGGGUGCGUAGGCGGAAUAUCAAGUCAGCGGUAAAAAUUCGGGGCUCAACCCCGUCGUGCCGUUGAAACUGAUGUUCUGGAGUGGGCUAGAAGUAUGCGGAAUGCGUGGUGUAGCGGUGAAAUGCAUAGAUAUCACGCAGAACUCCGAUUGCGAAGGCAGCAUACCGGCGCCCAACUGACGCUGAAGCACGAAAGCGUGGGUAUCGAACAGGAUUAGAUACCCGGGUAGUC
Molecule: ribosomal RNA, 460 nt
Filed under: uncultured bacterium
Lineage: Bacteria
Description: partial 16S ribosomal RNA
Rfam family: Bacterial small subunit ribosomal RNA
Source: RNAcentral